This is a long non-coding RNA of Jaculus jaculus (lesser Egyptian jerboa), 509 nucleotides long. RefSeq lists it as uncharacterized. The transcript has 3 exons. The record is from RefSeq and is a predicted model, not a curated record. Lineage: Eukaryota; Metazoa; Chordata; Mammalia; Rodentia; Dipodidae.
CAGUGAGUCACUGUACCAAGUGUGUAUCUGGUACUCAGACAUGGGAGAGCUUGUCCGUGGUGCCUGUCAUCGGCUGGUUAAUUCUCUCCUCCAACCAAGUCAUGAGAGGCAAGUGUCUUAGCCACUAAGCCACUUCUCCAGCCCCGAAGAAAUAUUUUAAACACUGGUAGAGAACAGCAGCAAGAAUGCCUGUCUCUCCAGUGAAAGGCUACACCGUGGCUAUCAUAACCAUGUGGAAAGGGGAAUUUGUACAGUGAUGCACAGAAAUAAACAUGACCGAUAACUGCAGCAUUUGGCACAUAUGGAACUGCGUAGGUAUCAAGGGUGAGUCAGAAAGGAAAGGCCAUGGAGCCAGCGGAUGAAAGGUGAACACUGGGCUUAACCUAAUUUGCAUCGCCAACUAUUCACAGGAUAAAUUCACAUGCUAAAUUAAACAAAUAUGGUAAGUUAUUGGGUAAAAACUCUCAGGUCUAGCUGGGCAUGGUGGCACAUGCUUUUAAUUCCAGCGC